Molecule: long non-coding RNA, 3047 nt
Organism: Lutra lutra (Eurasian river otter)
Lineage: Eukaryota; Metazoa; Chordata; Mammalia; Carnivora; Mustelidae
Exons: 3
Source: RefSeq, a predicted model, not a curated record
UAACGGUUCAGGGAGAGCGAGCGGCCGCGGCGCGGCUCCGGCAGCGGCAGCAGCGGAGGGGGGCAGAGAGCACUACUUUCUACUUUCCCACUCCACUUUGCCCGUCUCUGCCCCGGCCGCCCCCAGCCCGGCUCGCCCCCCUCACCCCCGGGGGCGCCCCGGCUGCCCGGCUCCCCCUGACUCCGCCGCUCCCCGGUCCCCUCCGCCACUCACCGUUAUUGCGCCGCGGGUUCGCCUGCUUUCUGCGCUUACACCUGGGGCCAUCCGCCAUGAUCCUCUCGCUUGUGUCUAAAUGCUCGAGUCACCUCCUCCCCCUCCCUCCCCCUUCCCCCCCACCCCUCCGCCUCCACCCCUCCCCCCUCCCCACCGCACCUGGUUUACGACACUCGCGGCUUUACGACAUCACCUUCCUUACACCUAGAGCCGCUCGCUCUACGGCCGGAACCUCGUUGCUAGGGAGAGGACGGUUUGCGGCAACCGUAGAAGCAGCUGAGUUUGAAUUGAGGGGAGAGGGAAAAGUUUCCCUCAGGUGUCGUGGGAUGGAGGAGGGGGGCGUUGGGAAACUGUGGAGACGCGGUCUGAAGCGCGGCAGGCAGUUGGGAGUGAGAAAGAUAUUUCAUGGUGUUCUACAUCAAGCAUAUGAUUUUCUCGUACCUCACUUCCUGAACACAUUUGGGAAGUAUAACUUAUAAUACGAUUUUAUAAUCUCCAUCAAGAUAAGAAGUUGGUUGUUUUCAUUGGAAGAUAACAUUAACUGCAUCAGCUCAAUAGUGACUCUGGACAUGGAGUUCACAAUGAGACAAAAGAGGGCAAUGGUAGUUUAACUGCUGCAGUUUGACCAAAUUCUACAGUCACUGAGUCAGGAAGGAAACAGAGUGAUCCAGAACCAACAGCUGUCUUUGGGACCCACACCAACUCUUCUAAUAAAGUCUUCCAGGAGGUAAUAAUAGGGACAAAUGGUUUCCCCAAACCUCCAUAUGGUUUUAUUAUAUAUUGCACCAUAAAAUGUUUUUUUCCUCUUGGGUGUAAGUCUCCUAUUUUUAAUAUAAGUCAAUGAAAUGUUAACACACAGAGCUUAUUUGGGGGGCAUUUUUUUUAGGAACAUGUCUAAUACGGACAUAUGUAACUCUAAAUAAAUGUAGAAAAAAUAUGUUUGGAGGGUGUUAAUGAACAUCCAAAAACUAAAACUAAUCUUUCCAUAAAAUCACAGUAAUUAAUAUGAUUGUUUUCAAAGGCUGCCUUCACGGAAGAGAGUUUCUUUUAGAACAUGUAUAACAUUUUUUUUUUUUGUAUACUUGACAACUAUAGGUAAAUUAAAGAGCCAUGUGCAUAUUCUGGAUUUCAGUGAAUUUACCCUAUCAGGGAUCUGAUACCUGAUUUCUACUGCUGAUUUUCCCCCCUCUUGUCUCCUUGUAUGUCUUUUCUGUGGCAUCUUGAUUUUUUUUUUUUUUUUAAGUAGCUGACUGGUUCUGUGACAGAGUGUAGCUAUUUCAUUGACCUAUAGUCCACAGAUCCUCAGUUACAGUCACUGCCACUUUUCAUUCCUUGGAGUAUAUAUAUAUGUUUUUUUUAAUAUUAGCAGUCAGUAAAAGGUUUUCAAUGUCCCACAAUUGUGUUGAGCUCACAUGAAAAAGUUGGCAAUAAGAAACACCCUGUGUUGAAUUAUAUCCACAACUUUAAGAUCAUUGGUCAGACCCUUCUCAUUCUUUCAUAUGCCUCUAUUUCUAGCUCACUCUCUUUAUCCUAAUUACAUAAAUAGAUCACAGACUCUGCCCCUCUCCACUGGUUUAUGUUUUAAUCAUUCUCCUCAUCUUUCUUUGUGCCAGGUCUAACAUACCUAUUUGGAUCAAUUCCUUUCUCUCUUUGUUCAAAGUAUUUUAAGUCAUCCCAACUCUGUAAAAUGCUUUGAUUUUUCAUAUUCUGGUCUUUCUUUGUCCCUCAAAGUCCAUUCUCUGCAUUUUUAUGUUCUUAGAGGCUAAUUUUUAUGGACCACAACACCCAGGAUCCUUUGCCCUCUGGUUUCUGUUUGGUUUCAACCAAUUUGGAGGCCUUGGCAAAUGAUCACAUGAAGGAAAGAGAGAUAGGUCAGGAUAUUUAUUGCACCUUCCCCCAUACUCCGCCCCGCCUGUUUGUGGCUUUUGGCAGUAACUUCAUUCCUCUACCUAGGGCCAUGGUUCUAGUCAUACAACCCUAUCUCAUGGCAACAGGUCUUGGCAAGUUCCAGCAACUGCUUCCCUUUGUCCCUUCAGGCCUAGGGAUGGCAAUGGUGUCCAUAUAUUAUGAAUCCUUGGGGACUUUAUUCCUUAUUGGUUCCCCUAAAGCCUGCCCACAUCUCUGUAAAUAGUCUCUUCAUCAAACUCUCUUCAGUUUACCCUUUGAGUGUGCCAUUUGCUUCCUGCCAGGCCCCUCAAUACUUAUACAUAGAGAAAUAAAAUACAUUUACCCUUAUUUAUCAAUCCAGAAUUUUAUUUCUAUUGAUCACAACACUAAAGUUUGCAUAUGAUAUAAAUAUUUCAGUGACUAAGUAUAUACUCAUGUACUAUGUGUACAUGCAAAAUCUGACAAAUACUUAGAAAUAUUCCAGAGUCUACUACAUAGUAAUUAUUCAGUAACUAUUUGUAGAAUGAAGGCCUCUGUGCUAAUGAUAUGAAAUCUAAGAGAGACUACUUUUAUAUACUUAAAACAUGAAGGGGAAAAGAAAAUCUUAAUACCACAGUAUUAAGUUGGAGAUAACUGGUUGUCUCCAGUAUGUUUCUUCUUAAUAAUGGAACCCUCCCCUCCUACCCAUGGCUACUUGAAUGGUCUUUUCACAAAUCUCGGUGUUACUGUGCUACUCAGUUCUGGCCAGUGAGAUAUAGGUGGAGGUGAUGUGUGUAAUGUUGAGGAAGUCUGUCCUUCAAAAGGAGAUGGUUCACCAUUCUUUCUCUUCUUGCUGGUUUGAAUCAGAACUGCUAGCUAGAGCUUCUUAAGAUUAAGAAAGAUAGAGCAACAAGAUUGAAGGGUCCCAAGUCCUUGACAUGAUAGAAUACCAUAACUAACCCUAGACU